AACGCACAUGGCGCCUUCCAGUAUCCUGGGAGGCAUGCCUGUCCGAGCGUCGUUUCAACCCUCGAGCCCCAGUGGCCCGGUGUUGGGGAUCUGCCACGGCAGGCCCCUAAAUCCAGUGGCGGACCCGUCGGGCCCUCUCCUUUACGUAGUAGCAUCAGCCUCGUAUCGGGAGCCUGCGGCGUCCUCGCCUCUAAACCCCCCAACAAGCCCGCCUCGGCGGCACCAAGGUUGACCUCGGAUCAGGUAGGAAUACCCGCUGAACUUAA
Molecule: unclassified non-coding RNA, 266 nt
Filed under: uncultured fungus
Lineage: Eukaryota; Fungi
Description: partial contains 5.8S ribosomal RNA, internal transcribed spacer 2, and large subunit ribosomal RNA
Source: RNAcentral